UACGGAGGAUCCGAGCGUUAUCCGGAUUUAUUGGGUUUAAAGGGUGCGCAGGCGGAAUAUUAAGUCGGCGGUGAAAGUUUGCAGCUUAACUGUAAAAUUGCCGUUGAUACUGGUAUUCUUGAGUGUAUAUGAAGUAGGCGGAAUUUGUAGUGUAGCGGUGAAAUGCAUAGAUAUUACAAGGAACUCCGAUUGCGAAGGCAGCUUACUAAAUUACAACUGACGCUUAGGCACGAAGGCGUGGGUAUCAAACAGG
This 253-nucleotide ribosomal RNA is filed under the name uncultured bacterium. Its description in RNAcentral is "partial 16S ribosomal RNA". It matches the Rfam family "Bacterial small subunit ribosomal RNA", at positions 524 to 776 of the family's 1533-position model. The record is from RNAcentral.